GACGAACCGUGCGAACGUUGUUCGGAAUCACUGGGCUUAAAGGGCGCGUAGGCGGGCCGCAAAGUCAGGGGUGAAAUCCUCCAGCUUAACUGGAGAACUGCCUUUGAUACUGGCGGCCUGGAGUAAGGUAGGGGCGUGCGGAACUGAUGGUGGAGCGGUGAAAUGUGUUGAUAUCAUCAGGAACUCCGGUGGCGAAAGCGGCACGCUGGACCUUCACUGACGCUGAGGCGCGAAAGCCAGGGGAGCAAACGGG
RNAcentral lists this ribosomal RNA (253 nucleotides) under uncultured bacterium. RNAcentral describes it as "partial 16S ribosomal RNA". It matches the Rfam family "Bacterial small subunit ribosomal RNA", at positions 524 to 776 of the family's 1533-position model. The record is from RNAcentral.